GUGUGACCCCAGGUCAAGCGGGUCCACCUGUCGAGCUU
RNAcentral lists this ribosomal RNA (38 nucleotides) under Metroxylon salomonense. RNAcentral's name for it is "partial 26S ribosomal RNA". Lineage: Eukaryota; Viridiplantae; Streptophyta; Magnoliopsida; Arecales; Arecaceae. The record is from RNAcentral.